This 477-nucleotide ribosomal RNA is filed under the name uncultured bacterium. Its description in RNAcentral is "bacterial SSU rRNA". It matches the Rfam family "Bacterial small subunit ribosomal RNA", at positions 328 to 793 of the family's 1533-position model. The record is from RNAcentral.
UCAGUCGACUCCUACGGGGAGGCAGCAGUGGGGAAUAUUGCACAAUGGGGGAAACCCUGAUGCAGCCAUGCCGCGUGUGUGAAGAAGGCCUUCGGGUUGUAAAGCACUUUCAGUAGGGAGGAAGGUAGUGUAGUUAACACCUGCAUUAUUUGACGUUACCUACAGAAGAAGCACCGGCUAACUCCGUGCCAGCAGCCGCGGUAAUACGGAGGGUGCGAGCGUUAAUCGGAAUUACUGGGCGUAAAGCGCAUGCAGGCGGCCUGUUAAGUCAGAUGUGAAAGCCCGGGGCUUAACCUCGGAAUUGCAUUUGAAACUGGCAGGCUAGAGUCUUGUAGAGGGGGGUAGGAAUUUCAGGUGUAGCGGUGAAAUGCGUAGAGAUCUGAAGGAAUACCAGUGGCGAAGGCGGCCCCCCUGGACAAAGACUGACGCUCAGAUGCGAAAGCGUGGGGAGCAAACAGGAUUAGAUACCCCUGGUAG